RNAcentral lists this long non-coding RNA (282 nucleotides) under Lathyrus oleraceus (garden pea). RNAcentral describes it as "Pisum sativum (pea) long non-coding RNA (PSAT_LNC011926)". The record is from RNAcentral. Lineage: Eukaryota; Viridiplantae; Streptophyta; Magnoliopsida; Fabales; Fabaceae.
UUUUGCUGGUUAUUAUUGUUGUUGUUGUUGUUGGUUCUUUGUUGCGGUUGUUGUUGAUGUGGUUGUUGUUGAAUCGGAACUAAUUGAGUGUUGGAAUUGUUGGAAAAUACAAGAAUCACUAAUGACACUUGAUGUUAAUGUUGACGAGGUUGAGAACUCUUUCUAACAUGAGGCCUCCUCUACCUCCCCACAAUUAUUGAAUUAGUUUCCCCUUCCUUCCUCUUGGAGAAACUACCCCCAUAUUUCUUGCUAGACGAUGCUUCUUCUCUAGACAGAUGUCCU